AUGCUCAGAAAAAUGAAGAAACGGAAGCAUGAACAUGAUGAGGUUCCUCACACAAGCCCAGCCCUUCCAUCUGCUCAAGUCCAGCAACCACAGCUACAACCAACUGUGUCCAAUAACCGCUGCUUUCUUCAUUAUCUACCGGAUUUGAGGCAGCCCAAGGAAAUCGCAUAUAAUUCUUGUCAACUGAAACCCAAGGUUGAGGCAAGUGAUUACUUCGAUUCUCCGUCAGCAAAAUCAAUAGGCAAGUUCUUCUCCGAAGCUGGACCUGAGCCUGGUGUUCUCCAUUCAUCAUCUUUGAGGGAGAUGGUUGUGUUUCCCCAUGGGCCUGGGGCUGUAAUGCCUACGUACGAAGCUGUUCUGCAGGAGCAACUAAGAGAAACUGAGAACCGCGCAAAGGAACUCAAGCAAGAGUGGCAAACAAGUGGCUGCACUGUAAUUGUGGAUAGUUGGAAGAGCAAGUGUGACAAAAGCUUCGUAAGUGUCCUGGUGCACUGCAGCAAAGGUACGCAGUUCCUCAGAUCCAUUGACGUCUCUGAAAUCACUGAGGACUUCGAUGAGCUAGAAUCAAUGCUUUCUUGCGUGGUUGAAGAUGUUGGUGCCCAUAACAUUGUUCAGAUUGUCAUGAAUGACGUGUCACCCCAUAUGCAGAUGGCACGGCAGUAUGUGCUAAAUAAACAUGACAGUUUUUUCUUCGUGCUAUGUGCUGACCAUUGCAUCAACCUUCUACUUGAGAAAAUAGCAGCGCUCGAGCAUGUCAGUGAAGUCCUAAUGAAGGCAAGGGAAAUUACAAGGUUUUUAUAUGGCCAUGCACUGCCAAUGAAAUUGAAACGAUAUGUUCAGGAGGAGAUUUUGAGCAGUUCUUAUCUGAAAUUUGUGGCAGUGUUCAUCACAUUAGAGAGGUUAGUUUCUGCAAGAGUAGGUCUGGUGCAGAUGUUCAGCUCGCCUGAAUGGGUUCCCUCGGGUUGGGCUUGUCUUGAUUUGUUCGAGCGUAUCCAGAGCAUAGUAAAGACAGACGAUGCAUUUUGGCAUGCUGCUGCCAAAGUCGUGAAGGUUACAAGCCCACUUGUCAGAGUGUUGUAUAAACUGGAAUCUGAUAUCUGUCCGAUGGGUAUCUUGUAUGAAGCCAUGCAUGGUGCAAAAGAAGAGAUAUGUGUCAAUAUUGGAGAUGAAAGUGAGUUUUAUUUGCGUAUAAUUGACAAGAUAUGGGAUGGUUACUUGCAUAACCCUCUCCAUGCUGCUGGUCCGAUGCUAAACCCAAGGAUCUUCUACGCAGCUGGAUUCCACCCUUAUACUGUGAUCAGCAGUGGCAUCGCGGCCUGUAUAAUCCAACUGGGCAAGGCUCAUUACAAUCCCAUAAAAGCAUUAGCACAAUUGGAAGUGUAUGAAAAGAAAUUGGGCUAUUUCGAUACAGAUCCAGCAAAGCAGCAAAUAAUGGAAUUACCACAAGUUAAAUGGUGGUCGAAGCACGGGGCUUGCGUGCCCGACCUGCGGACCCUUGCGAGGCGUGUCCUGAGCCAGACGUGCUUCGGCGCCACCAGGUACAACAUCGACUGGAGCCUGUCGGAGAAGCUGCACGCCGAGUGGGACGAGAUGAUGCUGCCCGAACAGGAGAGGUUCCGGCAGAAGGAGUACGUCCACUACAACAGCGUCCUCGCCCGCUCCUCCCCACUCCUGCACGGCUCUUCCGUGAAGCAGCACGACAGGGUCACCUUGGUGCUGCAGGACUGGAUCAGACCGCAGAAACAGGCCGCCUGUCGCCACUGA
This 1764-nucleotide ribosomal RNA is filed under the name Triticum aestivum (bread wheat). RNAcentral describes it as "partial small subunit ribosomal RNA". Lineage: Eukaryota; Viridiplantae; Streptophyta; Magnoliopsida; Poales; Poaceae. The record is from RNAcentral.